CCCUGGUUAGCUGAGUUGGUAGAGCGCUCCACCGGUAAUGGAGAGGUCCCGGGUUCGAUACCCGGACCAGGCG
This 73-nucleotide transfer RNA is filed under the name Ixodes scapularis (black-legged tick). Its description in RNAcentral is "tRNA-Thr". It matches the Rfam family "tRNA". From Rfam's summary of the family: Transfer RNA (tRNA) molecules are approximately 80 nucleotides in length. Their secondary structure includes four short double-helical elements and three loops (D, anti-codon, and T loops). Further hydrogen bonds mediate the characteristic L-shaped molecular structure. tRNAs have two regions of fundamental functional importance: the anti-codon, which is responsible for specific mRNA codon recognition, and the 3' end, to which the tRNAs corresponding amino acid is attached (by aminoacyl-tRNA synthetases). tRNAs cope with the degeneracy of the genetic code in two manners: having more than one tRNA (with a specific anti-codon) for a particular amino acid; and 'wobble' base-pairing, i.e. permitting non-standard base-pairing at the 3rd anti-codon position. Lineage: Eukaryota; Metazoa; Arthropoda; Arachnida; Ixodida; Ixodidae. The record is from RNAcentral.